GUAGGGAAUAUUGGGCAAUGGUCGGAAGACUGACCCAGCCAUGUCGCGUGCAGGAAGACGGCCCUCUGGGUUGUAAACUGCUUUUAUCUGGGAAGAAAAAGGCCAUGCGUGGCAAAUUGCCGGUACCAGAUGAAUAAGCACCGGCUAACUCCGUGCCAGCAGCCGCGGUAAUACGGAGGGUGCGAGCGUUGUCCGGAUUUAUUGGGUUUAAAGGGUGCGUAGGCGGCUGAUUAAGUCAGCGGUGAAAGACUUCGGCUUAACCGGAGCAGUGCCGUUGAUACUGGUUGGCUUGAGUGUCGGAGGGGCACAUGGAAUUGAUGGUGUAGCGGUGAAAUGCAUAGAUACCAUCAGGAACACCGAUAGCGAAGGCAUUGUACUGGCCGACAACUGACGCUGAUGCACGAAAGUGUGGGGAUCGAACAGGAUUAGAUACCCGAGUAGUCC
RNAcentral lists this ribosomal RNA (444 nucleotides) under uncultured bacterium. Its description in RNAcentral is "partial 16S ribosomal RNA". It matches the Rfam family "Bacterial small subunit ribosomal RNA", at positions 354 to 796 of the family's 1533-position model. The record is from RNAcentral.